This 491-nucleotide ribosomal RNA is filed under the name uncultured bacterium. RNAcentral describes it as "partial 16S ribosomal RNA". It matches the Rfam family "Bacterial small subunit ribosomal RNA", at positions 29 to 506 of the family's 1533-position model. The record is from RNAcentral.
AGUGAACGCUGGCGGUAGGCCUAACACAUGCAAGUCGAACGGCAGCACAGUAAGAGCUUGCUCUUACGGGUGGCGAGUGGCGGACGGGUGAAGAAUACAUCGGAAUCUACUUUUUCGUGGGGGAUAACGUAGGGAAACUUACGCUAAUACCGCAUACGACCUACGGGUGAAAGCAGGGGAUCUUCGGACCUUGCGCGAUUGAAUGAGCCGAUGUCGGGUUAGCUAGUUGGCGGGGUAAAGGCCCACCAAGGCGACGAUCCGUAGCUGGUCUGAGAGGAUGAUCAGCCACACUGGAACUGAGACACGGUCCAGACUCCUACGGGAGGCAGCAGUGGGGAAUAUUGGACAAUGGGCGCAAGCCUGAUCCAGCCAUACCGCGUGGGUGAAGAAGGCCUUCGGGUUGUAAAGCCCUUUUGUUGGGAAAGAAAAGCAGCAGGUUAAGACCCCGCUGUUCUGACGGUACCCAAAGAAUAAGCACCGGCUAACUUCGU